Molecule: long non-coding RNA, 624 nt
Filed under: Podarcis muralis (Common wall lizard)
Lineage: Eukaryota; Metazoa; Chordata; Lepidosauria; Squamata; Lacertidae
Description: lncRNA (ENSPMRG00000002930.1)
Source: RNAcentral
UGGCAGGCAAGGUUUUCAGGAUGUGAAAUAUUAUCCCAACUUGGUUCCCACCUUUAAAUGAGAGCAGGUUUGUCUCUCCAAAGAUCUUUAUCCAGAUUUCUUUACCUACAUGAAAUUCGUUUCAGAAAGCUAAGACUUCGUGUCAGGUUCAUUGGCAGAGAUGACUGGCAGAAUCCGAAACCCGGGAAGAGAAACAGCGGAAGAAGAUGGGAAGAAAUUCAAGGACUAUCUAAAGAAAUAUUGUAGAAUUAAUGAAUGUUAGAAUGACGUUGGGUUAGAAAAUAUGUGGUUAUCAGCGGUAAUGGAUAAGUAAAAAAGAAAAGAAAGGUUAAAAAUUAAGUGAAAAAUAAGGGAAGGAUUUGCUGAAUAAUAAAUUAGAAAUUGGAAUACAGAAAGGGGAGGUAUGAGGAAGUCGGGAAAGUAAGUUAUAAGAAAAUAAGGGUUGAAAUUAUACUUGUUUUUUUAGUUUCCGUUUGUCUGUUUUAAUGUAUUGUUUUGUUGUUAUAAAAAAAAACUUCUGAAACUUUAAUAAAAAAAUUAUUAAAAAAAAAAAAAGACUUCGUGUCAGGUUCAGAAGGAGACAACCAAGUCUGAAGAUAAAGAACAAGGCAGGAAAGAUAUGAU